This 253-nucleotide ribosomal RNA is filed under the name uncultured bacterium. RNAcentral's name for it is "partial 16S ribosomal RNA". It matches the Rfam family "Bacterial small subunit ribosomal RNA", at positions 524 to 776 of the family's 1533-position model. The record is from RNAcentral.
CACGUACUGUGCGAACGUUAUUCGGGAUCACUGGGCUUAAAGGGUGCGUAGGCGGCGAUUCAAGUCAGAUGUGAAAUGCCUGAGCUCAACUGAGGCAUUGCGUUUGAAACUGAAUUGCUAGAGUAUUUCAGGGGUGUGCGGAACUGCCAGUGGAGCGGUGAAAUGGGUUGAUAUUGGCAGGAACACCGGAGGUGAAGGCGGCACACUGGGGAAUAACUGACGCUGAGGCACGAAAGCUAGGGGAGCGAACGGG